This 563-nucleotide ribosomal RNA is filed under the name uncultured bacterium. RNAcentral describes it as "bacterial SSU rRNA". It matches the Rfam family "Bacterial small subunit ribosomal RNA", at positions 917 to 1482 of the family's 1533-position model. The record is from RNAcentral.
GGGCCCGCACAAGCAGCGGAGUAUGUGGGUUACUUCUACNCAACGCGAAGAACCUUACCAAGGCUUGACAUGCAGGGUAAAGCGGCGGAAACGUCGUGCCCGCAAGGGCCCUGCACAGGUGGUGCAUGGCUGUCAUCANCUCGUGUCGUGAGAUGUUGGGUUAAGUCCCGCAACGAGCGCAACCCCUGUCCUAUGUUGCCAGCAUUAAGUUGAGGACUCAUAGGAGACUGCCGGCGUCAAGCCGGAGGAAGGUGGGGAUGACNUCAAGUCAUCAUGCCCCUUAUGUCUUGGGCUGCACACGUGCUACAAUGGCCGGUACAAUGGGCUGCGAUGGAGCGAUCCGGAGCGAAUCCCACAAAACCGGUCCCAGUUCGGAUCGAAGGCUGCAACCCGCCUUCGUGAAGUCGGAGUUGCUAGUAAUCGCGGAUCANCAUGCCGCGGUGAAUACNUUCCCGGGCCUUGUACACACCGCCCGUCACACCACCCGAGUCGUUUGCACCCGAANUCNCUGGCCUAACCCGCAAGGGAGGGAGGCGCCCAAAGUGUGGAGGGUAANGGGGGUG